AAGCAGGCCAUGACUAAGACCCCAAGGAUGAAGAAUGGAGAGCCCUGACCGUCCUCCUGGCCUCCAGUCAUUUCCCCACUGAAGAUGGCCGUACCCUCUAGCCUGGGAGGACCAUGGCCCAACAAUGGCAGUGGGAGAGAAGAUGACUCUGUGGAGGACACUCUCCGUUAUCUGUGAUGACAUACACCAGCCCCCGAACAAUUUAACCUCAAGCUGCCCUCUGCAAGACUUCGGUAGCACUGGACUUCCCUCAUUCCUGGAGUGCCAGCACAGGAGGAGGCACCAGCCAAGCUCAUGGUAUACCUACAGCGCUUCAGGCCUCUGGACUAUCAGCGCCUGCUAGAAGCAGCCAGUUCUGGUGAGGCCACAGGGGACUCAGCAUCCUGACAACAGCGUUCACUUUCCAAAAGGGAAGGUAACUCUGAAGCCGCCAUUCACAUCCGGACCCACGGUGCUCCUUUCCCUUACAACGGAGCCACUUUCCCCUCCAGCUCUGCCUGGUCUUUCGCCCACUCUGAGCUAUCCUUCCUGGAGCCCUCCCUGGCUGCUUCCCUCAUCCGUCAGAUGCAAUCUGUGGGCCGCCCCUCUCCCCUGGCCGCUAAGCAGCCUCCAUUGAUUUCCGCUCGUGUUUAUAGGAUUUCCACUUAGCCGUGAUCAGUAGUUAAGCACAGGAAAAUCCCUUGCCACCCCCCCCUCCCUUGGUCGAUGCCAUUGAUUCUGCCAGAGGCUCUGAAGCCGCCUUACAGCUGAGUUAGAGAUGAGGGGAAACAGCGGGGAUUUCCCUGCCCUGGG
Molecule: long non-coding RNA, 792 nt
Filed under: Mus musculus (house mouse)
Lineage: Eukaryota; Metazoa; Chordata; Mammalia; Rodentia; Muridae
Description: zinc finger homeobox 2, opposite strand
Source: RNAcentral